This 261-nucleotide ribosomal RNA is filed under the name uncultured archaeon. RNAcentral describes it as "partial 16S ribosomal RNA". It matches the Rfam family "Archaeal small subunit ribosomal RNA", at positions 748 to 1009 of the family's 1478-position model. The record is from RNAcentral.
UAGCCGUAAACGAUACUCGCUAGGUGUCGGCCACGGUGCGACCGUUGUCGGUGCCGUAGGGAAGCCGCGAAGCGAGCCACCUGGGAAGUACGGCCGCAAGGCUGAAACUUAAAGGAAUUGGCGGGGGAGCACAACAACGGGUGGAGCUUGCGGUUUAAUUGGAUUCAACGCCGGAAAUCUUACCGGGACCGACAGCAACAUGAAGGCCAAGCUGAAGACUUUGCCGGAUUAGCUGAGAGGAGGUGCAUGGCGUAGACGUGU